GGGAUAGCCCAGGGAAACCUGGAUUAAUACCGGAUGAGACGGGACCCGCGAUGGCGGGACCCGGGAAAGGCGCUGCGGCGCCGCCGGGGGAUGAGUCUGCGUCCCAUUAGCUAGACGGCGGGGUAACGGCCCACCGUGGCGACGAUGGGUAGCCGGCCUGAGAGGGUGGACGGCCACAUUGGAACUGAGACACGGUCCAGACUCCUACGGGAGGCAGCAGCUAAGAAUCUUCCGCAAUGGGCGAAAGCCUGACGGAGCGACGCCGCCGUGAACGAAGAAGGCCGUGAGGUUGUAAAGUUCUUUUCGGGAGGGGGAACAACCGUGGCAGGGAAUGGCCGCGGGAUGACGUGAAUCCCGGAAUAAGCCCCGGCUAACUACGUGCCAGCAGCAGC
Molecule: ribosomal RNA, 392 nt
Filed under: uncultured bacterium
Lineage: Bacteria
Description: bacterial SSU rRNA
Rfam family: Bacterial small subunit ribosomal RNA
Source: RNAcentral